UACGGAGGGGGCAAGCGUUGUUCGGAUUUACUGGGCGUAAAGGGCGCGUAGGCGGCUUUGUAAGUUACUUGUGAAAUCUCUGAGCUUAACUCAGAACUGCCAAGUGAUACUGGAGAGCUAGAGUGUAGAAGGGGCAACUGGAAUUCUUGGUGUAGCGGUGAAAUGCGUAGAUAUCAGGAGGAACACCUGUGGCGAAGGCGGGUUUCUGGGCUAUCACUGACGCUGAGGCGCGAAAGCGUGGGGAGCGAACAGG
RNAcentral lists this ribosomal RNA (253 nucleotides) under uncultured bacterium. Its description in RNAcentral is "partial 16S ribosomal RNA". It matches the Rfam family "Bacterial small subunit ribosomal RNA", at positions 524 to 776 of the family's 1533-position model. The record is from RNAcentral.